This is a long non-coding RNA of Drosophila miranda, 4611 nucleotides long. RefSeq lists it as uncharacterized. NCBI's taxonomy places the organism in Eukaryota, Metazoa, Arthropoda, Insecta, Diptera, Drosophilidae. The record is from RefSeq and is a predicted model, not a curated record. The transcript has 5 exons.
GAAAGUUAACUUAAUUUGUGAUAUAAAGUGGUUUCGUCUGUCUGGAUUAACUUCCGAGACUCCUGGAGACUUUUGGACCUCUCCAGAAAGACUUAUGGAAACUCUUACAGGAUUUACCUCCAUUGUUCCCAAGACUUCGGCGCAAUUGGGUUUGAUUGAAGAAUGUUCUAUGGGUUAGUGGACAUUGCCCGUAGUAUGCUGUACGCCUAAUUGCAUUUAUGGAUUACUGUUACAGAUUUCGGAGCCACUCAUUUCGGUUGAACGCGCCCCUCAGAGCCCUCAGAGCCCACAGAGCAGCGCCACCCUCGAUUUUGGGGGCGCCACGCUUGGCCAAGCUUCGUCUUAAGACGCCGGGGGCCCAGGCCCGGCCAAAGAUGCCGGGAAUUGGUUCCGAGUGAGUGACCAGCAAGUUUGGUCAACCGCAACGGGGCAAGCGAGAGGCAACAACAAAUUGAUUAGCUCCGCAGUCAUGGUUGUUGUUGUUGUUGUUGCACAUUUAGCUGGUUGACGCCUGGCACGACCGAAGGCAAACGGCGAAACCCUUUGACAACAUAAUUACAUAAUUAGCUACCAAUGAGCGGAGCGCAGUUUGGACCAUGGUCAACCAGAGAGAGAGAGAGGGAGAGCAACCCCUGGCUACUUCCCUCGUCAGCUGUUUGAGCCGGGCCCAGCAAGGAGCCAGGAGCCGAGGGAAAAGAUGAUUGAAUGACUCCAGGACGAACGGAGUGCAGUGCAGUGCAGGGAAAGGUGAAUGGCAGGAUCCUAGGAUGCCUUGGGAGGAGGAUCAUCUGUCAAGCGCAUUUAGCUAAAAUGCAUUAAAACCAGAGAAAAGCAGGACAAUGCCCCGAACCGCUCCGAACCGAUCCGAGUAGAGCCCAAAGAUCAAUAAGAGGACACUUUGGCUAAGCGGCUUACACAACGACAAGGACAACGACAACGACAUCGACUCGGAAGUGCCUAAUGCAUCAUGUUGCAUCUACAUGCUGAAGACAUGCAAACAGAAGGAGGGACAAUGGCCUCGGGAAGGGAAAAGAACAAUGCGGCUAACCGUGCGCAAGCGGCUCAGCGGAGAUAACGGCGGCAAAAAGGACAUGGGAAAAAAGUAAUCCCAGCAAGGACAACAAGGACAACGGUACAACGACAACACACAACCUGUGGCAAUGUCACCGACAUCAAGUAGCUGCAGGAGGAUUGAUUACCCAGCCGAUUAAGAGCCGAUUACCAGUGACAUUGGUUCCCAUGAAUGAAUCUCCGUAGCACACCAUAGCCCUGAAUGGAUGUCGCUCCUGCGGCAAAAGAUCAUAGAAUCCUAUGGGACGGGGGGGAGGCACUGAAGCUGGUUCAGGUGUCACAGAUUCCCAGCCUCUCUAAUCCCGCCACAAGCAGAAUAACCAAAGCGAAAUCCCAACCCCUUUGGCUGGAACCAUCUCAGGGUCUUUAAGCUUUUCAAACGGAGGCCCAUGUGCAUCUGUGCAUCAAAAAUCAAAGCCAAUCUGCAGCCUCAUGAAGAUGAUAUCGACAUUAGCCAAUAGCUUAUCUAAAGAUACUUAAAAUUACUUUUUUCGAAUCAGAUUUUUGAAUGCAAACGGAACCACAUAGAUGAUGUAUCUAAAAGCGACAGUUUUCCUUGGACCAGUAUAUCUUUUAAUCGAGGACUUUCCCAAGCGAAUACUUAUCCAGCAAGCAUCGGAUUACUCUAGAAGAUACAGGAAAAACAGUAAUCAUAUAAAGAGAGCUACAUGGGAACCACCAUAUCUUUGUGGACCAUCCGUAAGAUCCAGGUCUUACGCGAGGAUUUGCAUCCAUCUGUUGGGGUGAACCCUUUUUUGGGUCGAGGCGUAAAUUGUGAUGAAAAUCGCUGAAACGCCAUUUAACCGCGACGGCCAUUACCCAACCACCCAGCCACCCAGCCACCCUGCCGCUCUGGCUCCAUCGCCCCCUCCCGCGCACUGGGGCACUUUAUCAACAUUUCCGCGUUUUAUGGCCUCCAAGGAAAUGUUCCACAACUUGACAAAGGCCCAGAGGCCCAGCCGAGAAGCCAAAUUGAAAGAAAAGUUUUAAUUAUUUUUAAUUUUCAUGAUUAGUACUUUGCGUUUACACCACCCAAGACAUGCCUCCUCGGACCAGACCAGGCCAGACCCACCCCUCGACCCAGCCCUUGUUAAUUAAGCUUAACAAUAGUGGGCGUCUCCACCUCCCCACCGCGCCCCGCAUUGGCCCCGUCCCGCGUGGUGAUAAUGAUAAUUUUCUCACUUUCUCUGCUGCCUGCCACCGGGGGAGAGGGGGGACAGCCCCUGGGCUGUGCUGUGGCAUCUUCUGCUCUUGACACAAGUUAAUGAGUUUCGCGCUUUCGCGCCUGCCAAAUGCCACCAUCGGGUGUACUUAACGCUAUUCCUGUAUUUCUGUACUCGACUCCCUGUCUCUAUCUGUAGCUCUCUUUCCGUCUGCGGCUGUCUUGUUGUGCGGCUACCCCCAAAAAAGGCGUUUUGGCUUUUUGGCAAUUUUAUAAUUGUUUCUUUAUGCAAAGCGACAACUCCAGCUCCGAAGAGUAAGAGAAUGAAAACUUUCUAGAUACCUGGUAAGCCCCACGGGCCCCCCUGCCCCCGCCCACUCCCCGUCUAUCAGUAAAUGCUUAAAGCCCUUUUCGGAUAACCAAAAGGCCCAACAUUUCUCAAUGACAAAAGGUGAGUGAGUGGUGGAGCUAAAAGGGGAUUUUCCAUGGGCUUAAGAGGGGCAAGAACUAAAUAUAGAGAGAGGAGUGAUGGCUGGGAUGAGAUGACAAAUUGAUGAAAGCAAAGAUCACAAUACUUACACUACAAAUGGCACUUCCACAAGGGAAACUAAUAUAAUAUAUACCUAUUUUCUCCUUACAGAUCAUGGAAUCCCAUUAUGAACCAGAGGUAAAGAUCUACUUUGGAUGGAAUUUUAACUAAAAGUGGAUGCAAGAAGAGAGUUCUCUCUCUUUAACUCCUUAAAUGUACCUUGAAUAUCAAAAUAAUAACCUUAAGUAUAGCUACGAUAUUUUCAUUAAAGUCUUAGAGCAAAUCCAUGUAAUACCCUGCCCAAACACAAUACAAAUUCUAUAUAAUUACCAGCACACCUGCAGCUGACUUACGAAACGCACUGUAUAGUAUCUGUGUGCAAACACUUGCUGCCAUUUAGGGUCAUGUUUCCCUUACAAACCAUUAGGUCCAUUCAUUUCAACUCCUUUCAAGAUGCUCCCUCCCUUGGCCAAGGACAAUUCCAUUCAUAUUAGCCUAGUUAGCGGGCCUCUCUCUCCCGGCUGUCAUCGGGCAAAUUCCCAAUAAUUCCCCGUAAAUCUAUCAUAGAUUCUUGCACUCAAUUGUGCCGACGACAAUUUGUUGGCCCAACCGAAAGUUCUGAGGGCGUUGCCGACGCACAAAGGGAGACAAAAAGCGAGCAUAAAAAUAAAUUAGUUAGAUGCCCCUCUCGAUCUGACCAGAACAACGAAUAGCAACAAAAAAGGUGUGAUUCCACAGAAACAGAGAGAGCCGGGAGAAAUUGUAACAAGUCAAUUUUUCUUGAGAUGAAAAGGCCGACACCAGGUCCCGGCCCGACCAACGGACCAGACAAUGCGUCUGGUUUGUCUUCUGGUCUUUUUGGUCUGGUCAGCAGGCACAAUUUUGGGACAUGUUUUUGGAAAAAUGUUUACAAAACAUACUACCGACACAUUCCUCCCCUAACCCAACUCCAUUUAAACUAAAUCAAAGCGCAUUGUCUUCGCUGAAAGAACAAAUAUUUUGUUUGGUGUUUUUUUUUUUCAGUGGGGGCGUGGGAAAUGGCAAAUGGCACCAGGAAAACUCUAGGAAUUCAUCUAUUUAAAUAUACCAAAUAGACAAUUUGUAUUCACUGAAUGCUCUCCAUUCCAUCAAUUACUAUCAAUAUUAUUUAUUCCAAAUUUGUGGCUGGCCACAAACGAAGAAUGGAGCCUCCUGACCCAUAAAUCAGUGCAAAAAAAAGAGCAAAUAAAUACAUACAUUUAUUCUGUAUAACUAUAUAUAUUUGUAUAUGUAUGUGCCACCCCUUCUAUAAAAACGAAUGGCAGACAAUGUUGUGGAACGCAUAAAUCUUGAGUAAAUAAUUUUCGCCGGCACAGCCGAAAAUGACAAAGUUUAUUUGGCGGUUGCUCUGUGCGGUGGCCUGGGGAUUUUCUAUAUUUUUGUUUUUUUUUUUUUUUGGGGUUUUUUUUCUCGUUAUUUGCGGAUCCACGCAGAUGGGCGGUUUUGUGUGGUCAUGCCAGAAAUGUAUUUAUGUAUAUGUGUGCAUCUAUAUAUCAUUGAGUCUAUGUAUUCAUACUUAUAACAUUUAAAUUUAGUGCGAACACGAAAACAUGCCGAAUGUUGAAUUGAUAAAGAUGAUGUGGCAUCGGUGGCAAACAUAUGGGUAAAAACAUAAUGCAGAAUGCUGAUUAAUACCAGUGCGGCAGUCAUCUAAUUGAAACCUUUUUAAUUGCAAGUAAAUGUACAUUUUAUCUUAGUUAAAUAUUAGUUUAAAAUACACCAACAACUAAGCGUUUAAAUGGAUCAAAAUUAAUGUUUCGUUGUACAUUCCUUUAGAAAUUAAAUAGAAUUCACAUUUUAAUACGUAUAG